This 253-nucleotide ribosomal RNA is filed under the name uncultured bacterium. RNAcentral describes it as "partial 16S ribosomal RNA". It matches the Rfam family "Bacterial small subunit ribosomal RNA", at positions 524 to 776 of the family's 1533-position model. The record is from RNAcentral.
UACGUAGGGUGCAAGCGUUGUCCGGAAUUAUUGGGCGUAAAGAGCUUGUAGGCGGUUUGUCGCGUCUGCUGUGAAAUUUCGGGGCUCAACCCCGAACUUGCAGUGGGUACGGGCAGACUAGAGUGUGGUAGGGGAGACUGGAAUUCCUGGUGUAGCGGUGAAAUGCGCAGAUAUCAGGAGGAACACCGAUGGCGAAGGCAGGUCUCUGGGCCAUAACUGACGCUGAGAAGCGAAAGCGUGGGGAGCGAACGGG